UUGACCCCGUAACGACUUGUUCUGGGUACAGUUUUUAAAAACUGGCCAGACUUAUAGCCCCCAUUCAUUAAUGGCUAUAAUACGCCGUCUCCAGUCUUUUUACAGAAAAAGCUGGAUGAAGAUAUAGUCUAAUACAUUAAUGUAUUG
RNAcentral lists this non-coding RNA (147 nucleotides) under Candidatus Yanofskybacteria bacterium GW2011_GWA1_44_21. Lineage: Bacteria; Candidatus Yanofskyibacteriota. The record is from RNAcentral. RNAcentral also lists the same sequence under 1 other name.